UGGGGUAUAGCUCAGUGGCAGAGCAUUUGACUGCAGAUUAAGAGGUCCUCGAUUCAAAUUCGGGUGCCCUUU
RNAcentral lists this transfer RNA (72 nucleotides) under Struthio camelus australis. It matches the Rfam family "tRNA". From Rfam's summary of the family: Transfer RNA (tRNA) molecules are approximately 80 nucleotides in length. Their secondary structure includes four short double-helical elements and three loops (D, anti-codon, and T loops). The record is from Rfam by way of RNAcentral. Lineage: Eukaryota; Metazoa; Chordata; Aves; Struthioniformes; Struthionidae.